CCAUGUUUGCAGUGAACUUCAUUCGCGGGACUCAGCACUAUGUGCAGGAAGCAUAGUUCUACAUGCAUACGGCGUUGCUCCUCCCUUUCCGUAUCGAGAUACGUGCAUGCAAAGACGUAUUGCUACCUCUGCAAAGACGCUUCUACAGUUUUGACCUCUGUUUUGGCGAGGAUUUGCAUGCUCACAGAAAGAGGCCGCUUGCUGUGCUGUUGGUCCGCCUGGCAAGAAACAGAACAGUCACUCGGGCCGUUGCGAAAGCGGCGUCUCGCAGUAUCCGCCAGUCUUUGACCAGGCUCCUCACUCGAUUUGCUUUUGAUGUUUUCUCAGGAAAUGUGCAACCUGAGAUUUCCAGUUUGGAAGCAACGCGUUUUUUUUUCUGCGGCUCAGUCUCUCACGACGUUUCUUCUUGAAGAGUUUAAGCGAGUGUCAAGCGAGAACCGGAAGAGAAAUGCGUUGUUUUUUUCUUUUUUGCCUUGUCUUAGAGAGGCGAGAGACGCCUCUGGCGUCUGUGCUGUUGACGCAUCUCACGUCUCCUCCACUGGCCUUUCGUUGGACCGUUCUACGCUGCGAAGCGACGAAUCGGUUUUCUGCUCGGCCACCGCUUUCUGGGGAAUAUUGUGCAUGCGAAGAGCGUGAGGACCGCUUGGGGAUAGUGCGUUUUAGGUUUCAAGUGUGUGCUUGCUCGUGACCGACGCUAAAUGUCUAUCGGACGGACUGGGCAGAACCUGAUUACAAGCAGGCUGUGGUGUGGCGGAGAUCUAGGGAGACGGAGAGAAACUCUGGAAGCUGUUUUUUCUCAUCCGGGCGUCUCUUUCCUCUGUCUGAGCGGGAACACCGUGUUCGGCUGUAGAGACC
RNAcentral lists this long non-coding RNA (855 nucleotides) under Toxoplasma gondii VEG. Lineage: Eukaryota; Apicomplexa; Conoidasida; Eucoccidiorida; Sarcocystidae. The record is from RNAcentral.